AUCGUUUCUUGGCCUCUUGGCUAAGAUGAAGUGCAGAUCUGUUCUUAUCAGUUUAAUAAACUAACACUAUGCAGUACUAAUCUAACCUAUGGCUUUCUUUUAUUUUUCUAAUCCUU
Nomascus leucogenys (northern white-cheeked gibbon) is the source of this 116-nucleotide non-coding RNA. The record is from Rfam. NCBI's taxonomy places the organism in Eukaryota, Metazoa, Chordata, Mammalia, Primates, Hylobatidae.